Molecule: long non-coding RNA, 1004 nt
Organism: Pyrgilauda ruficollis (rufous-necked snowfinch)
Lineage: Eukaryota; Metazoa; Chordata; Aves; Passeriformes; Passeridae
Exons: 3
Source: RefSeq, a predicted model, not a curated record
UUUUGAUUUGCUGUGACACCUUGAUUGCUGCACGGAUGAGUCACCACACCACUCCUAUAUCCACACUGCAGCCCAUGGAAGACCUCUCCCCAUGGAGAGGAACCCAUUCGGAAGCAGGAUUCAGGCAGGAGCUGCAGCCUGUGGAGGAGGAUCCAUCCUGGAACAUGUUUAUCUGGAGGAACUGCAGCCCUGCCAAAGUUUAAGUUUUUUCCCCAGAAUCUGCCAAGGCAGCUCAUGCAUUCAUCCUCUGUAGUGGUAGAGAGGAGGGACAUAAAGGACUGAAUAUUUCUGUAUCUGCAAUAUAUUAGUGUAUUUAUGAAAGACACCAUGGGGAAGACCUUCUACAUAAUUUCGAAGGCUGGCUUUUGCUUAAUUUCAUGCUUUGAAGACAUGUGCAUUCCCAGUUUCUUUCACUUUUUUCCCUAUGCAUUCUAUUAUUAUCUUUUUGCCUAUCCACUUGUAAACAAUUUCUAAGCUGACGUAUGUGAACAAGCUGCUUGGAAUGAUCUUCACAGACAGAGUGCUCUACCAAUUGGUUUCCUGAAUGAAGUACAUAUCCAUACCAUUUCCUUGAUCUUCUAGGCUCCUAUGGGAACAAAUGUUCAGUGUCAGGCUGGUACUAUACGUCCAUUUAAUUGAGCUGAGAGAACUCUACUGCCCUCGAAGAAAGCUCAUCUCUUCUCUCCGUGGAUGUGACUAUAGAGCUAGCAGAUAAUAUCUCACUCAUUAUUUAUACAACCACGUAAUUAUCUCCCAGAGAUUCCCCAUUUUGUAGAAGUUUCUUUUUUGGAAACAUCAUCUGUUGGCUGAAUGGAAAGCCAAAUACAGCCUCCGAUACUGUGACAGUGAGUGCCAGAGCAUCCUUUGCUAACACACGUGGGAAACAGCACAGGAGUCUGCAGUACCACUCACAUGGGGGAUGUACUCCUGGCAUUACACUGGAUCUGUUUAAUUCUCUUGCAAAAUGCAAGCACAUGUGCAAGAUCAACAGUACACAAAACACA